RNAcentral lists this long non-coding RNA (755 nucleotides) under Struthio camelus australis. RNAcentral describes it as "lncRNA (ENSSCUG00000004673.1)". Lineage: Eukaryota; Metazoa; Chordata; Aves; Struthioniformes; Struthionidae. The record is from RNAcentral.
GGGGACCGAGGCUAUUUUGCUUAAAAAAGAAGAAAAUGUAUCUUUCUGCAACCCAAACCACUGCUUGUAUAUUUUUUGAAGCCUCAUAGUCAAUGUGGGAAGGUACAUUUCCUCAUGUAGGGUAUCAAGAGAGCUAUCAGUUAACACAGAAUUAAGCUUAUUAGAAACUACUUUUCCUCACCCUUCUCUUCCCACUUCUUAUCUUCCCUCCCCUGUGGUACUUUAGUGCCCUGAAGACCAACUGAACUGCAGUGCUGUAGCUGUUUGUACACACUGCAAAUGACCUGGCUUUUUAUCCAGCUGCCAGGAGAAUUUGUACUGACUGCAGGAGGACUGGGGCACGCAGCGUACUUCAUCGUCAAUGGGAAUUCAUGCCUUUCAUAACUCAGCAACAACUAACAGAGCCAGUUAGCCCAAAAUAUUAUUUUCCUGAAACGUCUGCAAACAAAGGGAUGCAUUUUGCAGACAGAAGAAGCUUGUGUGAACUCAUGACUGAAAUGAAACUUGCCCAUUUUGAAUCAUGUUUUCAUGCCUGCAAGCAAGACUCAGAGAUGGAGGACAAGAAUUUUCUAAAAGCAUAUUCAAGAAAGGAUGAAGCCAAAAUACUUUUGCAUCUAAAAAUCAUCUACUACAGUGACAAGAACAAUUAUGGAAACAAUUAUCACGGGGAGGAACAGUGAUACUGAGGCCUAAGUUGCUCUGCAUGAGUCUAGUUUUACAGCGGUUAAGCUUCAAUAAAAUCAACCACAGUAACA